Syngnathus acus (greater pipefish) is the source of this 1028-nucleotide long non-coding RNA. RefSeq lists it as uncharacterized. Lineage: Eukaryota; Metazoa; Chordata; Actinopteri; Syngnathiformes; Syngnathidae. The transcript has 2 exons. The record is from RefSeq and is a predicted model, not a curated record.
CUGACAGAGGAAGUCCAGUAGCCAGUUGCAGAGGUGGGUGAGGGCCGAGUGGAGGCCCUCUCGGAUGACCGACCCUCUCACCCUAUCUCCAAUGGGUGGCCCUCAUUUUAUCUGCGACCUUGUUUUUUAGUCACAACCCACAGCUUGUGGCCAUAGGUGAGGGUAGGAAUGUUACUCAACUGGUAAAUCGAGAGCUUUGCCUAUAGGCUCAGCUCCUUCACCAAGACAGACCAAUAUAUAGUCUGUAUCACUGUACAAGAUUCACCAAUUAGAAUCGGUGAUGUCCAUUCUUCCCUCACUUGUGAACUCCUCUUUGGGCAGGAUCUGAUCCCCAACCUGUUAGGAGCACUCCAACCUUUUCUGACUGAAGACCAUGGUCUGUUGUAAAAUUUCAACGUAUAGAAGUCUCGGGCCUUCUUCCUUGCAUCAACCAUUACGAAUUACCUGUGCCCAACUUCUUUAACGCGUGUUCGUUUUUUCUUCUAAGGGCAAAGAUAUCCACACAAAUCACACUCAGAUCAGGUUAGUUCAAUUUCAACUGAGUAUAUUAAGUCUGCAUUCAGGAAAAAGCAAUACGGCGCCGGGCGUUCUCCCCCAGACAUGGAAGAACCGCGCCCCACAAAACAACUCAUACAUUUUUAUACACGUCACUUGGUUUCGUAGCAAGAGGUGGAGACUGUUAGUCUCCUCCUUUUUUGGAUAUCUUAAAGUCAAGUUCUCCCCUCACCCAAACGGGCUGCUCCAUCUUGUCCAAAUCUUGUUUGGAUGUUUUUAAAAUCCAGUUCUCCCCUCACGCAGAGGGCGUUGUCCCAUCCUUGGCAGCGCUUGCACUUUUGCUGAUGUCAAUUUGUGUAAACAGUCUCAUUUGUUCAUCUCCUCGGUCCUGGUGAACUGUCUUGUGCGACGAUGAACUCAACACAAUAUUAAUCCUGGCUAAUGUUUUGUUGCUAUGUUAUUUUCCAUGCCAACGGUUGGUCUCUGUCCACAUUUCCAUUCUCCAUGCUUCAGAAUAACACAUUUACAAAACA